UGUUCUCCUCAGCACUCUUCUGCCAAGACCAUGUCUUCUCCUUGGUCUGUGCCUCGUCCCCAGUCAGCUCCUGUGUCUACGGAACAUGGCCCGUCAUCUUCCGAUUUCUCGUUUUUCUACUAGGGCAAGGUCCUUUCAUCAUACAUCUCCACGAUCACCAGUGCCGCCUGCUCAAUCCUCAUUCUCUCUGACGCCUCAAUUUUUCAUUCAGGAUUGGGCAAUAUGGGAUGGACCAAAUACCUUGUUCUCGAAUAAGGAACUUGCUAUCUUCUAAACAUCACUGAAGGCAGUAGGUUGUGCAGGAGGAUGGAAAACUAGACUGCAUUCCAGAUGCAAUACAAUACGAUACAAUGCACAUUUUUGCUUUCCACGAACAUGUCAUUUCAGUUUUACAUAGGAUACCUUUAAAGAAAGUA
Molecule: long non-coding RNA, 416 nt
Organism: Alosa sapidissima (American shad)
Lineage: Eukaryota; Metazoa; Chordata; Actinopteri; Clupeiformes; Clupeidae
Exons: 3
Source: RefSeq, a predicted model, not a curated record